RNAcentral lists this ribosomal RNA (497 nucleotides) under uncultured bacterium. Its description in RNAcentral is "partial 16S ribosomal RNA". It matches the Rfam family "Bacterial small subunit ribosomal RNA", at positions 28 to 507 of the family's 1533-position model. The record is from RNAcentral.
GACGAACGCUGGCGGCGUGCCUAAUACAUGCAAGUUGAGCGCUGAAGGUUGGUACUUGUACCAACUGGAUGAGCAGCGAACGGGUGAGUAACGCGUGGGGAAUCUGCCUUUGAGCGGGGGACAACAUUUGGAAACGAAUGCUAAUACCGCAUAAAAACUUUAAACACAAGUUUUAAGUUUGAAAGAUGCAAUUGCAUCACUCAAAGAUGAUCCCGCGUUGUAUUAGCUAGUUGGUGAGGUAAAGGCUCACCAAGGCGAUGAUACAUAGCCGACCUGAGAGGGUGAUCGGCCACAUUGGGACUGAGACACGGCCCAAACUCCUACGGGAGGCAGCAGUAGGGAAUCUUCGGCAAUGGACGAAAGUCUGACCGAGCAACGCCGCGUGAGUGAAGAAGGUUUUCGGAUCGUAAAACUCGGUUGGUAGAGAAGAACGUUGGUGAGAGUGGAAAGCUCAUCAAGUGACGGUAACUACCCAGAAAGGGACGGCUAACUACGUG